UUGUAAUGGCAAGAUACAUAACUAACAAAUUGGAUUGCAUUUUGAGAGCUAAGUUUCUUUGACAUGGCUCGAUAGAGCUGAUAUUGUUUCCAUAGAUACAAAACUACAAAUCAGUGUAUCGCAAACCUCUUGAAAAGGCUGGAAUUGAGAAUCCAAAUAUCAUAUUCUUGGUACUAUAUAUGAAGCAAAUGUAUUGAUAAGAUUGACCCCUAAGCCGACUUUGAGGAGCAAGGGAAGGUAGGUCUCUGAAUGAACCACUGCUGCUUGCCUAUGGUGGAGAUGAACUCCAGGUGUGUCAUAUAAUUUCUGCAGAUGAUAGAAGGUUACUCCACUAAAUACUGAAAGGCCAUUGGUAAAAUACAGAUACCCUGGCAUACCCCUCCUCCUAAGAAAGCAUUGAUUUGAAUUGGACCCAAGGAAGUUCCAGGAACAGUAGAUUGUAUUGGUUUGUACUUUUGCGCUGAUGCAGCAACUGGAUCCUUUUCUGCCAUCAGUUAUGGUUAAAGCACUCAUAAAAGCUUAUUUCCCAACAUUUGCUACUAAGUAAACUUCCAGAAUUCCCACCAAGAAGCUCACCAUAACAUCCACGUCCCGU
Molecule: long non-coding RNA, 595 nt
Filed under: Rosa chinensis
Lineage: Eukaryota; Viridiplantae; Streptophyta; Magnoliopsida; Rosales; Rosaceae
Description: sRNA RchiOBHm_Chr1g0373771
Source: RNAcentral